Molecule: non-coding RNA, 232 nt
Organism: Cyanistes caeruleus (blue tit)
Lineage: Eukaryota; Metazoa; Chordata; Aves; Passeriformes; Paridae
Source: RefSeq, a predicted model, not a curated record
UGAAAGAAUAGGAAAAAUCACAGGAUUUUUAACUUCCUAGGUAAAUACAAUCGACCUUAAUGCUGCAAAUACCAUCCUGGCAUCUGGAACCAAAGAGGGCACCAUUAGUGUUUGGGAUGUUACUACAGCAACAGUGUUGCACCAGUUGCCAUGUCACUCUGGGACUGUAUUUCAUGCUGCUUUUAGUCCUGACAGCAGACAUCUACUGAGCACAGGGGAGGACUGUUGUUUU